UACGGAGGGUGCAAGCGUUAUCCGGAUUUAUUGGGUUUAAAGGGUGCGUAGGCGGCUUUUUAAGUCAGUGGUGAAAUCCAACAGCUCAACUGUUGAACUGCCAUUGAUACUGGAGAGCUUGAGUACAGACGAGGUAGGCGGAAUUUAUGGUGUAGCGGUGAAAUGCAUAGAUACCAUAAAGAACACCGAUUGCGAAGGCAGCUUACUAGGCUGUAACUGACGCUGAGGCACGAAAGUGUGGGGAUCAAACAGG
This 253-nucleotide ribosomal RNA is filed under the name uncultured prokaryote. Its description in RNAcentral is "partial 16S ribosomal RNA". It matches the Rfam family "Bacterial small subunit ribosomal RNA", at positions 524 to 776 of the family's 1533-position model. The record is from RNAcentral.